UGUAUGACACCUGAAUGGUGACAAAGGUGGGCAGGACGAGAAUGCUAAGGGAGAAUCUUCCUGUGCCCUCUGAGUCUCACUGCCUUGCCCCUCAUCUCCGCGCUGCUUUGAAGUUACAAAAGUCCUGUGAUCGUGCAUUUUCCAGAAUUUCUCUGGAUACACCCCUGUCGUUUAGGAUCUGUGACGAGAUACUCGAGGCAAAUGGAGGCAUAGAUCCACACAGAAGGCUGCACCAAAAUGUCCAGAGAUAUUUUAUACUCGUGACAGCCAAAGACAAAGGAACCUGGGGGAUCAGCUCUUAGGUGAGUAGACAGUUAGGAUGCAGGGUAUACGUACAGCAGAAUAGGGUUCGGCCAUGAAAGGGAAUGGCGUGCUGAAACAGACAAACACUGAAAACCUUUUGCUGAGCAGAAGAAGCCGGUUCCAAAAUACAGUACCACAUAUUUUGACUUCGGUGCAUGAAAUCUCCGAAAUAGGCAGAUCCUUGGAAGUAGAAAGCAAAUGUGUGAUUACACAGGGCUGAGAAGGACAGGAGAUCAGGAAAUGAUAAUAAGUGGUACACUUCUUCUGUUCUGAAGGCUUUCAUUUAAAAAUUGAUAAAAGAUAGACUUUUGUGGUGAUUUGUCAAUACUGUGAAUAUACUGAAACCCAUGGAAUUUAUUUACAUCACAC
Molecule: long non-coding RNA, 672 nt
Filed under: Fukomys damarensis (Damara mole-rat)
Lineage: Eukaryota; Metazoa; Chordata; Mammalia; Rodentia; Bathyergidae
Description: lncRNA (ENSFDAG00000025244.1)
Source: RNAcentral